RNAcentral lists this long non-coding RNA (638 nucleotides) under Phaseolus vulgaris (common bean). RNAcentral describes it as "long non-coding RNA (PVUL_LNC002707)". Lineage: Eukaryota; Viridiplantae; Streptophyta; Magnoliopsida; Fabales; Fabaceae. The record is from RNAcentral.
CACCAAAGAGACUUUACAUUAUCUAUACUAUUACUCCUCAAGUCUCUCCAAUCCCAUAUUUAAACACUAGUAUUUCCUUCCCUGGUCCAUCAUUUUCCUCUUCAAAUCUCCAAAUCCACUGCCCUUGUGUUUUUUAAGUGUUACAAAUAAGUGAAACUUUAUAAAGAAUGGAUGGCAAGACAGGUGAGAAUCCAAAAUUCAUACACAUCUUUUUCUCUCUUUCUAUUAUAACGCAAAUUUCAGAAACAUUUCAUAAAUUAAAUAUAUGUUUUUUUAGCUUAAUUUGUUUUUGUAUGAAUGAGUAGUGAGACUAAAUGUCUUUCACGGUAAUGAUCAAGAGAAGAAGAACUAGAUUAUGUGUGGUUUGCCUAUUCAUCAUGCCCUAAUCAUGGAGUGAUUAAGGUAACAACUUCCUUUUAGUUUUAUGUUAUGGCAAAAAUAGCUAAACAAAUUAUAUUACAUUCUUCAUCUACAAAGCAUAAUAUUUAACUUAUUUUUGGUUGAUAAAAAAAAUUGAACUUAUUUCUUAGGAAUAGUACAUUUGAGAACUCAACGGAAAGAUUUGAUGACCCAACCAAGUGAAAGAUUCUAUUAAACAAGGUUCCUUUAGUAAAAAGAUUUUUAAUUUUGUUUUACCC